GGGGGCGACUGGCUUCGACGGGGUUAGUGAAGCUGUGGCCGCGUGCCCAGGUACUCAGGUCCUGGUAAAACCUCUGGGGAUUUUUUCAACUGCCAACCAAAACUUGGCCCUGGCUGCGUAACUCUUCGGAGUUGCUGCACCUGCUCUUAGAGAAGCCCUCCUGAGGCGGCUUUAAGGGUAUCGCAAAUUCGGGAUAGUCGGCUGCUGUGUCUUCCGGUAGUCGGUGAAUUCAAGAAAGACUUGUCCAGAAGUGGGCUGUCCACUGGCCAGCGGCUGGAGACCUCAAUCGGUGGAAUACGCACGUAGACGCUGUGGUCGAUCUUGUCUCGGACCGGGGUUCGAAUCCCCGCGCCUCC
RNAcentral lists this transfer-messenger RNA (356 nucleotides) under Gemmatimonadota bacterium. Its description in RNAcentral is "partial transfer-messenger RNA". It matches the Rfam family "transfer-messenger RNA". From Rfam's summary of the family: Bacterial tmRNA, also known as 10Sa RNA or SsrA, is named for its dual tRNA and mRNA-like properties. Its role is to liberate the mRNA from a stalled ribosome. To accomplish this part of the tmRNA is used as a reading frame that ends in a translation stop signal. The record is from RNAcentral. Lineage: Bacteria; Pseudomonadati; Gemmatimonadota.